This 525-nucleotide ribosomal RNA is filed under the name uncultured bacterium. RNAcentral's name for it is "bacterial SSU rRNA". It matches the Rfam family "Bacterial small subunit ribosomal RNA", at positions 984 to 1509 of the family's 1533-position model. The record is from RNAcentral.
ACAUCCAGAGAACUUAGCAGAGAUGCUUUGGUGCCUUCGGGAACUCUGGGACAGGUGCUGCAUGGCUGUCGUCAGCUCGUGUUGUGAAAUGUUGGGUUAAGUCCCGCAACGAGCGCAACCCUUAUCCUUUGUUGCCAGCGGCUCGGCCGGGAACUCAAAGGAGACUGCCGGUGAUAAACCGGAGGAAGGUGGGGAUGACGUCAAGUCAUCAUGGCCCUUACGGCCAGGGCUACACACGUGCUACAAUGGCGCAUACAAAGAGAAGCGACCUCGCGAGAGCAAGCGGACCUCACAAAGUGCGUCGUAGUCCGGAUUGGAGUCUGCAACUCGACUCCAUGAAGUCGGAAUCGCUAGUAAUCGUAGAUCAGAAUGCUACGGUGAAUACGUUCCCGGGCCUUGUACACACCGCCCGUCACACCAUGGGAGUGGGUUGCAAAAGAAGUAGGUAGCUUAACCUUCGGGAGGGCGCUUACCACUUUGUGAUUCAUGACUGGGGUGAAGUCGUAACAAGGUAGGCGUAGCGAG